This 240-nucleotide ribosomal RNA is filed under the name uncultured bacterium. RNAcentral's name for it is "partial 16S ribosomal RNA". It matches the Rfam family "Bacterial small subunit ribosomal RNA", at positions 96 to 334 of the family's 1533-position model. The record is from RNAcentral.
UGGCGAACGGGUGAGUAACGCGUGAGGAACCUGCCUCAAAGAGGGGGACAACAGUUGGAAACGGCUGCUAAUACCGCAUAAGCCCACGACCCGGCAUCGGGAAGAGGGAAAAGGAGCAAUCCGCUUUGAGAUGGCCUCGCGUCCGAUUAGCUAGUUGGUGAGGUAACGGCCCACCAAGGCGACGAUCGGUAGCCGGACUGAGAGGUUGAACGGCCACACUGGGACUGAGACACGGCCCAG